RNAcentral lists this ribosomal RNA (253 nucleotides) under uncultured bacterium. Its description in RNAcentral is "partial 16S ribosomal RNA". It matches the Rfam family "Bacterial small subunit ribosomal RNA", at positions 524 to 776 of the family's 1533-position model. The record is from RNAcentral.
UAUGGAGGGUGCAAGCGUUGUCCGGAUUUAUUGGGUUUAAAGGGUGCGUAGGCGGCCUUUUAAGUCAGUGGUGAAAGCCCAUAGCUCAACUAUGGAACUGCCAUUGAUACUGAAAGGCUUGAGUACAGACGAGGUUGGCGGAAUGGAUGGUGUAGCGGUGAAAUGCAUAGAUACCAUCCAGAACUCCGAUUGCGUAGGCAGCUAACUAGGCUGUAACUGACGCUGAGGCACGAAAGCGUGGGGAGCAAACAGG